Molecule: long non-coding RNA, 917 nt
Filed under: Monodelphis domestica (gray short-tailed opossum)
Lineage: Eukaryota; Metazoa; Chordata; Mammalia; Didelphimorphia; Didelphidae
Description: lncRNA (ENSMODG00000047958.1)
Source: RNAcentral
AGUUCUGUGCUCUCUCACCUCUUGAGUUUUUCUGCCUCGCUGCCUGGGGGGGGGGAUCCCCCUGCUGUCCUAGUCAGCUCACAAGGGCGCAGAAGUGUCCUCACCUCGCUUCAGAGGCGCCCCUUGCUCCGUCGUCUCCACAUGCGCUGGCCCUGGCUCUGGCCCUAUAAAUGGGGGUGAGGGAGGGUGGAUCCACUCGUUUGUGUGGAAGCCCUUUUUCCCUCUUGUAGUCUGGUAAAGCCUCGAUCUCACACACCUUCGCUGGGCCCCUCCGCUCCUCUGAUAAAGAUUUUUAAGCAGGUGCUAAAAAAUAUUUGUGGAUUGACUGGGACCAAGGAAUUGUAAUGGGAUGAUAGAAAUCGGCUGUGAAUGGAGUUUAGCAAGCUCAUAACCAGAGUGACAGGCUCAGGAUGAUGAUUGUCUUCUCCAAGUAAGGCUGGUGUGAUUUUCCGAGGACUCCUUUGAAUAGCAUUGCUCCACUGUGACUUAAUGGGACUCACAAGCUUUGUCCUUCUCUAACUUGAAAGAAAUGCUUUCCAUUUGAGUGGUCGUUGGGUCUGUGUUUUCCUGGUUCUUCUCCCCUUAAUUCACUGUCAAUUCAGGAUUGAAGCCCAGUGGUGGGUUCUCUGCCUCAAAAAAAAACAUGGAUAUUUUAAUAAAUUUCUGAGCAUAACUUCACGUUGCUUUCCAGAAUGGCUAGGCCAAGUCACAGUUCCACCAUUGACUGGCAUAUUACUGAGCUGGCUUUUAGCAGCCUCUACAGAAUUGAGUAUUUCCAUUUUUUUCCUUUACCAAUUUGCUGGAUGUUAAGUAAAUCUUAGGAUGGUUUUGAUAUCCAUUUCUCUUAUUAUUAAUUUAGUGUAAUCUUUCAUAUGAUUGUUAAUAAAGAAAUUUUAUAUUCUGUUUAGGGGAAAAUA